GCUGGAUUCAGUUUGCCAGUAUUUUACUGAGGAUUUUUGCAUUGAUAUUCAUCAGGGAUAUUGGUCUAAAAUUCUCUUUUUUUGUUGUGUCUCUGCCAGGCUUUGGUAUCAGGAUGAUGUUGGCCUCAUAAAAUGAGUUAGGGAGGAUUUCUUCUUUUUCUAUUGAUUGGAAUAGUUUCAGAAGGAAUGGUACCAGCUCCUUCUUGUACCUCCGGUAGAAUUCAGCUGUGAAUCCAUCUGGUCCUGGACUUUCUUUGGUUGGUGAGGCGAUGCCUCACCCUGCUUCAGCUCUCUGGUCCGGCUGCACUAGCUGACCAGCACCGAUUGUCCGGCACUCCCCAGUGAGAUGAACCCGGUACCUCAGUUGAAAAUGCAGAAAUCACCCGUCUUCUGUGUCGCUCGCGCUGGGAGCUGGAGGCUGGAGCUGUUCCUUUUCGGCCAUCUUGCUCGCACCCCCUACAUUUUGACAUCAUUUUCAUCAUCAGCAAGAAAGACCUCACCAGACAUGGGCCCCUUGACCUUGGACCUCCUCGUUUCAGAACUCUAUAUGCCAUGUCCUGGAGACACUCAGGCAGCAGUCCUGUGGAAAGGCCUACUUUGUGAAGAAAUGAAAUCUCCAGCUCAUAGCCAUGAAGCCUGCUAACAACUGCAGGAGCCAUCUUGGAGGCUGAUUCCCCAGCACCAGGAGAAACAGGGAUGACAGCAGACCCUGUUGGCAGCUCAGUUGCAACCUUAUAUGAGACCCUGAGGCAGAGUCACCCAGAUGAGCCACUCUGGGAUUCCUGAUCCUUAGAAACUAUGUGAGAUAAUGAACAUUUGUUAUUGUUACCUGGGAAGUUUUGGGUAGCUUGCUACACAGCAAUAGAGAACUAAUACAGGCAAGUACUGUUAUUAUCCUCAUUACAGAUGAGCAGAUAAAACAGAGGAAGGUGGAGUCACCUGUCCUGGACACGUGGCUGGGAAGUGGUGGAAGGCAGACCCACACUGUCUGACCUCUGAGCUCACAUUCUGAACUCCGGUGGUUUAUAAACAUGAUGCGAUGUCUUUUAUACACUGCUUCGUUUAUUUGAAGUCCUCAAGUCUUAUUUGAAGUCUCAGGUGUAUUUGUAGUCUUUCCUUUUAAUUUGCCCCAAAUUUCAAGAUUGGUGGAUAAUUUCAGAGGGAUUAAGAUUAAUAGGGAGUCUAAAAGUCUUUAAAAUUAUUUUACUUAUAGUUUAAAAUAAUGUUUAUAUGUAAUCUAACAUUUGUAUGUUUGGGAAUCUUAUGUCACAGAAUAGAGAUGUCAGAGGUGGCUCAUAGUUUUAGGAAAGGAGUAAGGAAGUCACUGACCUUCCAUUUACAGGGUGAGAUUUGAAUUGGACUUCUAUGUAGAUACAUGGUUUUCACUCAUUGAAAGCAUGCAGAGAAAGAGUCACACAUGAGAAGAAUACAGUAUUAUCAAUUCUGGUAAGCAUAGAUCAAGGGUUGGCGGAUUUCUUUAGAUGUCAAGAUCAGACUUGAUUACACAACUUUUGCUCUGAAUUCAUGUGGCCAUUGAUUUGAAAGUCAAGAAAGCCCCAGGUUUUAAUUCCUGUGUCAUUGCAGAGGUUUCUUGGUGAAGUUUCUGCAUUAUGUUUUUCCUUUCUCAUCUGCAAACCUCUCAGUUUUCUACCCUGCAGUUGGAGAGAGAAAGAGGCUGCGCUGCUUCCUCCCAAGUCUCUCAGUUCUCCUUACUUUCUUGUUUCUGACCCCUUGGUUUGGUGAGAGGCAUGUGGACUGGCUGUAAGGUCGUGGGCAGCAUGUGACCACUCCGGUUUUACGUGGAAAAUUGCAAGCCACCUGCUUGAAGUCACUCGAAGAAUGAAUGAUAAGGCCUCCCAGUCUGGUUACCCUUCCACCUCUGCUGCUCAGUUUGCUUCUAAGUCUUACUUGAUGCAGGAUAAUUCUUUACUCAGUCAUGGAAGGUGACCAAUAGAACAUCUAUCUUAUAUUCCCUGUGCCACUGUUACUUGGAUCUUUCUUAUCUCCCUAGUGGAUUGGAAGCUCUUGGAGGUAGAAAAAUGGGAACAGAGCCUUGCCUACAGCAUAGCUCAAUAUAUACUUAUGCUAUUGAUAAAUAAGAGUAAAAGGACAGAUGGAAGCAAGGGUGGAUGAUGGAACUAUGAAGCAUACUGAGUUUUCCUACUAAUGUUGCCUUGCUAAUGUGCAUUGAAUAAGAAAACAAAACCUUAUAUGUAUUUUGAAUGUACGAAACAGGUCAGCUCAAAAUAGGUAUUUUACUUUAAAUAAAAGUGGCCUUGGUGUGGUGGCUGACACGUGUGUAAUACUAGCACUUUGGGAGGCAGUGGUGGGAGGAUCCCUUGAGUCCAGGAGUUCAAGACCCGCCUGGACAACAUAGUGAGACCCUGUAUCUACCAAAAAAUUUAAAAGAUUAGCCAAGCAUGGUGGUGUGUACCUGUAGUCUCAGCUACUUGGGGGGUUGAGGUGGAAGUAUCUCUUGAGCCUAGGAGGUUGAGGUUGUAGUGAGCUGUGAUUGUGCUGUUGUGCUACAGCCUGGAUGACAGAGGAAGACCUGUCUGGGAAAAAAAAAAAAAAAAAAAUUUGCCCAGAGCAUAAAGUUCAGUUUCAAAAAUUCAUUUUAUAGCCAACUUUUCAGUGAUUGACCUGUUGGUAAAGUUUUAUCAUAAAUAAUUUAAAGCAGAGACCAUUUUCUGGCUUGGCAGAUGUUUUAUUUUAAAAAAUCUAUUAUAUUUUAAUUGUCUAUUUCCACAUGCACAUUGUUUUUUUGGCUGGGAAGAGAAAGUUAAUUGAUGGUUGAUUUAUGUUCUGCCUUUUCCCAAAGGAUUAGAAGUUGUUUACUGCUAAAUCAUAAUGCAAAAUGUAACUUUCCACGGCUGGUAACCACACGGUGCUUUCCUGGUGAUAAUGUUGUUCUGUAACACUGUUUACCACAUUAUAAUGCAUCAUAUUAGAGAUGCACAAAUGAAUAGAUUCAGAGGCAGAACAAGCAAUAAAGUUUUCUACAACCAGAAUAAAUAAAUAAGGUGGGCUUAGGAUGGGUGGAGAACAUGGGUGUCCAGUGGUUGCAUAGAGAAUGAAGAGUUAAGACUUUGGAUGGUUCUAUCUAUGUGGUGGACAGUGAACAGAGAAUCAUAACUAUAAGACAUAUUCUGAUAGUAUAGUUGUAAGUAAUUUUACGUUAUAAAAGUGUUUCCUCAUUACUAUUUCACAACAAAACCCACUGUUUACUGAAUACCUGUGACACUGUGUGACAUAUAUUAGGCACCUAAUAAGCCAGCACAGGGCAGAGUUAUUCUUCUAAUCUCUCCGGCUUCCCCUUCUGCAGCAUCUCUACUCUCUUCAGCCAGAGAAUGUUCUCUUCUUUUAAGGGACCUUAUCUGAUUAGAGAAAGCCUACCUGAUUAACCUCUGGGUAACCUUAAGGUCAACUGGCUUGGGACUUUAAUAACAUCUGCAAAAUCCUUUUUGCCACAUGGCAUGACAUAAGUAUGGGUGUAACAAUAGAAGCUGAAGUCACGGGGGCCAAAAUUCUACCCACUACAGCCAUAAAGCUAGAAAGCAGCAGCUUCAAGAGCCUAAUCAAGGUCUAACUGGCUUCCAAGUCUGUAUUCAUUCAUCAUACCAUGAAUAUUCAUGAGUUAAAAUAAGAAAAACAUAUUAGAAAAUAGUUUAGGAUCCCCA
Papio anubis (olive baboon) is the source of this 3680-nucleotide long non-coding RNA. NCBI's taxonomy places the organism in Eukaryota, Metazoa, Chordata, Mammalia, Primates, Cercopithecidae. The record is from Ensembl.